Molecule: ribosomal RNA, 429 nt
Filed under: Actinomycetes bacterium
Lineage: Bacteria; Bacillati; Actinomycetota; Actinomycetes
Description: Actinobacteria bacterium partial 16S ribosomal RNA
Rfam family: Bacterial small subunit ribosomal RNA
Source: RNAcentral
UAGGGAAUCUUCCGCAAUGGGCGAAAGCCUGACGGAGCAACGCCGCGUGAGUGAUGAAGGUCUUCGGAUCGUAAAACUCUGUUAUUAGGGAAGAACAAAUGUGUAAGUAACUAUGCACGUCUUGACGGUACCUAAUCAGAAAGCCACGGCUAACUACGUGCCAGCAGCCGCGGUAAUACGUAGGUGGCAAGCGUUAUCCGGAAUUAUUGGGCGUAAAGCGCGCGUAGGCGGUUUUUUAAGUCUGAUGUGAAAGCCCACGGCUCAACCGUGGAGGGUCAUUGGAAACUGGAAAACUUGAGUGCAGAAGAGGUAAGUGGAAUUCCAUGUGUAGCGGUGAAAUGCGCAGAGAUAUGGAGGAACACCAGUGGCGAAGGCGACUUUCUGGUCUGUAACUGACGCUGAUGUGCGAAAGCGUGGGGAUCAAACAGG